RNA transcript from Leopardus geoffroyi (Geoffroy's cat), 2366 nucleotides. It is a transcript of the gene named chromosome C1 C2orf76 homolog, with no coding region annotated. The transcript is spliced from 6 exons. The record is from RefSeq and is a predicted model, not a curated record. Lineage: Eukaryota; Metazoa; Chordata; Mammalia; Carnivora; Felidae.
GAAUUUCUCCGCAUGGCUUCCAGAGAAGUGACCAUUACAGUACGCCUCAUUCGUUCUUUUGAGCAUCGCAAUUUCAAACCUAUAGUGUAUCAUGGAGUUAAUUUGGACCAAACUACAAAGGAAUUUAUAGUAUUUCUAAAGCAAGAUAUUCCUUUGAGGACCAGCCUGCCACCACCAUUCAGAAAUUAUAAAUACGAUAAACUAAAGAUUGUUCAUCAAGCACAUAAAUCAAAGACGAAUGAGCUUGUGUUGAGUUUGGAAGAUGACGACAGACUCAUGCUGAAGGAAGACAGCACGCUGCGAGCCGCUGGAAUCGCUCAUGAAACUGAAAUUGCAUUCUUCUGUGAAGAAGAUUAUAAGAACUACAAAGCUAAUCCCAUUUCAUCCUGGUGAAAACCCUUUGGGGGCUCCCUUUUUGCAUACCUGUCUUAAGCUCCUUAUCCCACUACCCACACAAAUAGCACGACUGAUUUCCCACCCCCCGAGCUGUGUUUCCUUACUCCAGGAGCAAACUAUAAUAGAACCAAACUCAUUUCUUUGGAGAGAAAAGGUAGCAGGAUGUUUGCACUUCUGGAAGAAAAUUGUUCAUUGAGAACAAGUCUAAGUCAUGGAAGGUACAUUUUUUUCAAAAUAAUAUGAUACUCUGGGUUCCCUACAAUGACUACUACCAGUUCCUAAAGAGUCCUGAUUUCAAAGGGGCCUCUUGGACAGCAUAUGGAUCUAAUGAGAACUCCUACGAAGUUAGUCGGCCCUAGAAUUAUUCCAAGAACCCUCAAAAUUGCUAGUAGGACAAAUUGGUUUCAUUGUGGUAGAGGCCAACUUAAAAAAAAAAAAAAUCAGCUUUGAAAGUCUGAUCAACAUAAUCAAAAUACGGUUUUUUGGGGGCUUUGUUGAAAGAUUUAGUAUAGUAGAGCCUUAUUUAAAAGAGAAAGUUUAUUCAUGGUUUCAUUCAUUAAAAAAGGGCUGAAUGGACCAAUGACCCAGGCUCCUGAGGAGUGAAUAAACACUUAAAUAAGACACAGUUUUUGCCUCAGCAAGCGGGGAAAGAUAUUUAAGCAAGUAAUUUUAAUAUAGUAACAGUGGAAGCUGCCAUGGGAACAAUGAUGAUGGGAUAGUUAAUUCUAUAUUCUGUACAGGCUUAGUUUUUAUUUUUAUUUAUUUGUCUUUUUAAAUUUAUUUUAAGAGAGAAGAGAGCUGGGGAGGGGUAGAGAGAGAAUCCCAAGCAAGCUCCAUGCUGUGAAUAUGGAGCCCGAAAUAGGGCUCUGUCCCACAAACUGCAAUCAUGACCUGAGCCAAAAGUAAGAGUUGAACACUUAACCAACUGAGCCACCCAGGUGCCCUGGGUUAAUUUUUAUUUUAAAAGAAGUAUCCGUUGAGCUUUUUCUUAAAAGAUUGAAUAGGAAUUUUUACUUAGUAGAAAAUAAGGGAAAAGCUUUUAGGAAGAGGGACCAGCAUGUGUAAAGGCAAAAUGCUGUUAAAUAACUCGGGAUUUUCUGCAGGAAGUUACAGAUUUCAAUGUACUAGAGUGGAAGGCCCUUGCACCAGAGGGGAGGAAGAGAAGGCCAGAAGGGAGGUUGAGCUAGGCUUUGUCUAUCCUUUAUCUAUCUAAGGAGUUGGAACUUUACCUAGUAGGUAGUAGGGAGCCAAUGGAAAGAUUUAAACAGAUAAAUUAUAGGACUAGAUUUGUAUUUUAGAAAGGGAGCUUUGGCCGCAGCAUCUAGAAGGCAGAAAGACAGUUGUCAUGGACCAGGUAAAAGUCUGGAUGGCCUGACCUCCAGAGUUCGGCACAGGGGAAGGGGAGGGGAGGAGACUUUCUCGCGAGAUAGUGUUGACAUUUUGUCACGCGUUACAUGGCAAGCAUCUUGUGGGGUACUUUACAUAUAUUAUCUCAUUCACUUUUUACCCCAGCUCUUCAGUCUUGAUAGUAUCAUAUCUAUUUAUGGAUAAAGAAAUUGGGACCCAGAGAGGUAAGGUAGUUCACCCAAAGUGAUGCAGUCGUGUACAGUGGGAUUGGACCUGGGUGUAUCUUGAAGUCCUGACCUUGCCCUGUCAGCCCUGUGGCCUCCAGUUAGAGGUGUGGGGUGGAGGGACUGGGGGAAUCUGGGGCUUGGUGAGGGCUGGGUGUGGAGGGUGUAGCAGAAGGAGGAGUGGGGACUUGGUGAUUCUUGCCGGAGCGAGUGGCUGGCUUGAUGGCGAGGGCGUUGACCCAAGUAGGGGAUUUGGUGAGGAGAAGAACAGGUUAGAGCACAUUACAUUUGCUCGUUUUGCAAGCACUCAGUUUACACACAGUUUUUCUUUUCUUUUUUUUUUUAAUUUUUUUUUUUUUUGUUUAUUCGUUUUUGAAAGACAGAGACAGAGCACAAGCA